Molecule: long non-coding RNA, 381 nt
Filed under: Pan troglodytes (chimpanzee)
Lineage: Eukaryota; Metazoa; Chordata; Mammalia; Primates; Hominidae
Description: long non-coding RNA NONPTRT009307
Source: RNAcentral
GAAAGAGACUCUUCCAUGGAGAAAGACAACAUGUGGCAGAUAAAUAAAAGGAGCUUGAGGUGAUUGUAUUCCUGCACACAGAGCCCCUCAGAAGAAUUCUUGGUUUGAAUGCCAGUCUCGUCUGCGAGGAGGAGUGUGGAGCUGCGCUAUGAAAGAUCGCACGGAGCCCAGAGCAUGUGGAAGGGGAGUGUCUUUGGGUUGAUUUUAAAUGCCGGUCCUGAAAGCUUUGUGGUUGGUGAUUUUCUGCUGCUGAGAUGCACCAAACAGGCAGGGGCAUUUGUGGUCUGGACACAGGGAGAAUUGCCCCAGAGUAGAACUGUUUGUCUGUCAUGGGGGGUGGAAACUUUUGUGGCCAGCUUUCUGGGACAUCAGAUGAGGUCA